CUUGAGUGGGCAGGUUCAGUCAUCAGUGGCUGCGGUUAGGUCCCGUCUCGGGUGUAUUUGCGCCUUGUGCCGGUUUACUCGUCAGUUCAAUAAGCGCGUUCACGGCGUACACUAGAAGUUAAAGCCAGCGAAUAUGACUAGAUUGAAGUCGGCGUGGUUGUACGCGAGUUAUACUAUACUUUUAAUCAUCGGUUCGGAUGCUGCACUGUCUGGACUUUAUAUCGAUAAUGGUGUCGAUCAAACUAUUAUACAUCAUUCCAUGACGCGACAUGAACGGCAAGCCGUUGAACACGAAAUCUUAGAGCUUUUGGGUCUAGGUGAGAGACCUCGACGCUCACAAGCCCCUCCUUUAGAUCGCUCGGCACCGAGCUUCCUACUUGAUGUAUAUAAGCAACUAGCAGAGGAACAUGAGCAGGCUAGGCCAACUCGCAGCUCUGAGAUGGCUCUCAGUGGUGAGGAACAACAUGCCAUCGAUGAAAGUGAUCUUAUUAUGACAUUCCAGAGUAAAAAACAUCACCUGGGUGCAUUACGCCACGGACACGGAAGACAUGUCUGGUUUGAUGUAGCGAGUGCUCCGGGAGACGCCUCAUCUCUCCUCACAGCAGAGUUACGCUUACACCAGGCACCUGUGCAUUCAGAAGACCCGACUGCAUUGUACACGGUGGUCGCGCAUCGAGUUAUAAGUGUAGAUAAUCUAGGAGGCAUUGAAAUGGAACGCAUUGCAGCAGUGAACACUAGUAUAGGAGCUGAAGGCUGGUUAGAGCUAAAUGUAACGGGAGCGUUGGCAACAUGGCUUGGUGCACCAGCUGACAACCGCGGUUUCUUUAUAACCUUACAUCCGCAUUCGCAACCAGAACGUCAUGUGAAACCAGAAGAAAUAGGAUUGGAUGAGACCCACGGUGCAAACUCUGAGGGAAAGCAACCUUUUAUGGUAGCAUUUUUCAAGCAUGGACCCAAGCUUGGUAGCUCUGAUACUGGUGCACGACGAAAACGCGAGGCAAGACGUUGGCGUAAUAAUGGAUAUUCUGAAAACUAUUUAAGGAACCCUUUAACAGAAACAAACCGAAUAAGACGUUUAUUGAAAUUCCAGAUACGUCGCAUUGGACGACCAGAAGCUGCGAAAUACAAACACUUUACGUUAGCUUUAAGGACUUAGAAUGGCAGGAUUGGAUCAUCGCGCCUGAUGGUUAUGGAGCUUUUUAUUGCAGCGGCGAGUGCAACUUUCCACUGAACGCACAUAAAAAUGCAACGAAUCAUGCAAUAGUACAAACAUUGGUCCAUCUUUUAAAUCCCACACAGGUUCCAAAGCCAUCGUGUGCCCCAAUCAAGCUUUCCCCCAUUUCAGUCCUUUACUACACGGACGAUUCAAAUGUGAUAUUGCGUAAAUACAAAAAUAUGGUAGUAAAGAGUUGUGGGUGCCAUUAAUGAAAUAAAACGUCGUGAUUUUAUAUAUUGACAGCCAAAACUAGUCGUGAUGUUUUAAUAAGCUGAAUUAGGUAGCUAAAUAUAGAUUAUCAGGUUUUAAUUAAACAGGUAUUUUUAAAUUAUAAUUUUAAUGUCACAAAAUUUUAAUAAAGUUAAACAGCUUUUAAAUUUGAUAUAAUUAUUAAUAACAGUUACAAUAAUAAAUCAGGGAUUUAAAUGUUAUCAUUAGAUUUUAGUAUUUAAUGUUUUGAGAUAAAAAAUAACUAUAAAAUGGUUUUUCUGAAUAAAAAUACUCAACGAUAUCAUUGCUCCGUCCGCUUAUUUGAUAGAGUAUUUAAUGUUUCAAAUAUCAUGAAUCAUUUACAUGUACCAAUAAGCUAAUCGUUGUCUGUCUGCCGCUGUAUUCGUUUACACCAGUGGUUCUCAAUCUUUUUGUUACGAGGAACACUAAUCUAAUUCUUAGAAGUAUAUUAUGUUGGGCAGAACACUUUAAAUAUAUUUUGAAUUUGAAAUUCAAACAGGACACACCUUUGUAAGUUCAAGAAUCAAAAAGGGAUAAAAAAAUGAGUUUGAUAUGGAAUUAUAAAAACAAAACUACCAUGGGGGGCCACGCGUCCCCGAAUAUGUACAUAUAUAAGAAAUUUUAACAUAUUCGUGUCAUUAAAAGACCCAUGAUAAAUUCAAAUGUGUCUUUCCCUGUUUUGUACUUAAUUCUCUCGCGGAACACUUGUUACAUAGUGUUUUUGCGGAGUAUCGUUGUUUUGCGAACUAUGGAUUGAGGACCACUGACUGCAAUAUAAAAACUUGACCUUUUUGUUGUCCGUGAACACUUGUUAAGGCAAGUUCACAUUAAUAUGCAUUUUCAGACAAGUAUCGUAAUUAUGAAUUAUCCUAGAAAUAUAAUUUACUGUUUAUAAUUAUCAUAAUUAUAUAUUGUAUUUAAAUAUAAAGUAGAAAUAAAUAUGAUUUUAAUUCCAUCAAUGUUUUAUGUGUAACAAUAAUCCUAAUUCAUUUAUAAAACAUGUUAUGAUAUAUGUUGUUAAAAUUGUAUUUAUUUGCAUUCACAAAAACAAUACGUAGGUCUAGAAAGUGAUUGAUGAUGUAUGAUGCUAUAAUAUUUGUAAAAAAACUCGUGACAAAAUUCAAUAUUAUUAUGUGAAAAUCUAUAUAAAUAAUAAUUAUUUUAAAAAUAUCUUCUAAGUUUUUAUUAUUCAAUUAGGGUGCUGUUUAAUUAUUGUUUAUGAUUCUUAAUUUGAAUACUGUCCGAAUUUUAUUAACAACUUUCGCAUCACAAUUAAUUAAUGAUUAGUAAAUAAGUUUCUUAAGAAUAAGGUUGUAUUUAUGUAAAGGAUCUGAAUUACGGCAAAUAAAUACAUAAUGAAAAAU
RNA transcript from Vanessa tameamea, 2811 nucleotides. It is a transcript of the gene named protein 60A, with no coding region annotated. The transcript has 7 exons. Lineage: Eukaryota; Metazoa; Arthropoda; Insecta; Lepidoptera; Nymphalidae. The record is from RefSeq and is a predicted model, not a curated record.